UUUUCGGUCUCUCGCGACGAAUUUCUACACCGGUGAACGGAUUUUGUAUAUGAAUGCAGAUCCCUAGUGACAUCCUCCAUUUUCUAGCUAUGCUUUGGUGAUUCUUCCGAGCGUGCGAGUCCAAUCCCCAGGAGCGGAAGGCACUUUUUCUUCAACAGCGGCGAGGCGAGGAGAGCAGGAUCCACAAUCUGCUUCUGGAGAUUGGAACUGUCUUUGAACAUUUCUUUGAUUGGUCUUCUUCCCGUGAACAUUUCUAACACUAGGAUCCCAUAACUGUAUAUGUCCCCUUGUCUUGAUGGUUCACCACAAUUACGUACUCUGUAACUCAUGAAACAAUCAAGUUUAUAAGUUCUCUGCGGACUAGUUACAAAAUCGGAACAUUACGUCUAUUAUACGCUAACUUUUACUUUUGGUAAAUUAAGAGUUCUUCUGAUAGCUAAUUUCGUGUUUAGUUUUUAGUUUUCUUUUACCGGUCUUUCUACCUCUUCAAUAACUUAUCUGUCUAGGUAGAAAUUUGAGAAAUUGUGAAAGUGUGUUUAGAAGAGUUUUACCUGGAGCAGCAUAGCCAGUGGUUCCCGUUAUUCCAACCAUGAUAAUUUGAUUUAGAGGGGAGUCCGCGGUGGCUGAAAUGAGUCUUGCUAACCCAAAGUUUUUGAAGCUGAGAAACAUGUGAAAAUCGAGCUGGGAUUGUCCCAGAGAAUUUGUUUCCACCAAUGCCAAUUUGUUGGAGAUUAGGCAUGUUGAGGCCAAUGUCAGGUGGAUAAUGCCCCCAAGUUCAUUGCCUAUUUCCUCCGGAACUAUUCCCACCAUAAUGUUAUAUGCCAAGGAAAGUUGUGUAGUUGAUGAAUGAUUCCCCAAGGAAGAAGGGAUGCCUCCUGUUGCUGUUAGAUUGUUUGUGCCAAGAUAAAGUGUCAAAAGCUUUGCCAACGAGCCAAGUUCCUAUGGUAUAUUGCCCAUGAGACGGUUUGAUCUCAACUUAUGAUGCUCAAUUCAGAGCAGUAUAUUAAGUUGACUGGAAUUUCCCCUCCAAAAUGUUGUCACUGAGGUCACGAUACUGCAGUAGGAACAGAUGACCAAUUUGCUUUGGAAACUUGCCCGAGAAGCUGUUGUUUCGAAGGUUGAUGAGCCUAAGAAAGGAGAGGUUUCCGAUGUGAGGUGGUAUGGUUCCUUGCAAAACAGAGCCUGCAGGUUCAAGGAUCCUACUCUUUGAUGCCUCCUGCUGCAAGUAACUCCAUACCAGCUACAGAAGUGAAAGGAGUCAUUCCAUGAGUUCAAGAAUUCGUAUCGAUUAGCAGAUAUGGAUCCUUUAAAUUUGAGUAAUGCCAAUCGAUCAGUUCCGUUUCCAAAUGGAUUUCCAGAAGUGGUAUAUUGAAAAAGUUUCAUAACAAAGAGAAGGGUCGUCACAAAAAGGUAUAUAGGCCGAACGGAGCAUAAGCUUGGACCAUGAAGAUCCAUUAUUCAGUAAGCAGAAGCAGGAAUUCUGGUGAUAAAACUAUGCAGACUACGAGUUGUAGGACGAUGAGUAGCCUUUCCUCUGGACGAUUACUGGAUUCUUAACACCAUGACAAUUAGUUAACCUCUCAACACCAUGACCAAUGGGAAACAAUAAAUUAUGGAUUAAACUUCCAAGAAUAAGACGCUAAGUUACUUUUGUAUUUAUUUAUUUGUAUUCAAACUUCAAAUCUCAGUGCUGCUUUCUUUGAAACUGUUCUUACUGUUGACAGUAGACACAGAGAGCAAAUAGAUAACAAGAUCUGUUGCUGUUAACUAGUAUUUGAAAGCUACUCUCCAACUGGUGGUAAGAAAAGAAAAGGACAAACUGCUGAUGCAUAUUUGAAAGAAGGAAUCUGAAGGGAACAAAGAUAAUGCAGUUGUUUUAUGUGCUACGAAUCGAGGUUCCAGACAGUACAUCCCUUGCUAGGCAUAAUCCGUCUACAACAUGUCCAAUAUCCAUCCGCUCUC
Pyrus x bretschneideri (Chinese white pear) is the source of this 1962-nucleotide long non-coding RNA. RefSeq lists it as uncharacterized. Lineage: Eukaryota; Viridiplantae; Streptophyta; Magnoliopsida; Rosales; Rosaceae. The record is from RefSeq and is a predicted model, not a curated record. The transcript has 3 exons.